AACUACUUCUAUAUUUUGUAUUCAAAUGCGGGUCAAUUCGCGUGUUUUCAUCCAACACCGUGGUUGAUGCCUUGGAUCUUAUGAAAUCACUGCUCGCGAAAGAGAACGCACCUCCCAUUCGUCCUUCACUCUCCGCCGAAUCUCCCUCCUUGCUUUUGUUUCCUUCUUCCGCGUUGAUGGCAACGGCCUGUUCCUAAAUACCAAGUCUGGUCGAGUCCUUUGGGUUGGCAAUGUCAGCUAACUGACCAGAACCAAGGAAUCUAGCGCAGCCUCUUCAAUGUUUCUCUAAGUCUUCGGUCCGCGGACUGCUACUUGGGUUGAGCUCAAAUAUUACAUGAAAAUUAUCUUGACAUCGAUUCACCAACUUGGUGACUGACUCCUGGCUGUGUAGCAAUACCGAUAUUCUUCCGAGAACACCGAUAUCAGGAUUUGUUCGCCUUCUUCUCGUUGCUUGACGGGCAGACACAGCAACACGAGUGGCAGGCUCAUAAUUAAUUUUGGAUUAAUAUCAUCGAUUAUCUGGCCGUUUUAAUUGACAUGUCCAUGCCAAAUUUUCUUGCAGAACAAUACGUGAUUAUCCGAGGCCUAGUAGAGAGAAGGAGAGUGUGAAAUUUAGGCAAAAAAACUUCGAGAAGUAAUAUGGCAAGAGAAUGACAUAAAAGUCUUCCGUUGGGGAAAGCCCUGAGAUGUCCAGACCUCUUUGAGCCAUAGAAACAUCCUAGCGAUUUUGCGGAUGCGGGAAGAGGUACAGUUAUUCAACUGGGCUUCAUUUAUAGACUGAUGGAAAGGCCGCCCCUGGAAAUUAAAGGCGUCUCGCGGAUCAAUGGUCUGGCAAGGUAAAUCUGAUGGCCCAGAGUUAUCUGGACGUUAUCACUGGGUGAAUUAGACAUGAGGGCUGAGACUUACGCGGAACAGCAGUCGGGUAUACUCUGGACAAGGGAUGAGUUAACCUCCGUUUGGAACAUGACGUUAAUGUUGGUCUCAAUGACGCCAGGCGAAAAUGAUACCCCUUGCUGAAACUGACGUCAGUGGCACUGUUAGUUCGAGGAUCCUCCCGGGCCAAGGCACAUCGGAUUCUAGAAACAAUUUCACCAACAUUAUCUCACCAGUUUUAUAAACCUGAUGAUCCAAAGCUGUAUAGGAAAGACUGCCAUAUGGGAGACAGCCGUUAGCUUUAUUGCAAUUAACCGUAAAUUCCCAACUCCUUGCGGAACGUAAAGCGGACAAAAUCUUGCUGGUGUUCCAAAAGAG
This 1251-nucleotide small RNA is filed under the name Histoplasma capsulatum. RNAcentral's name for it is "hypothetical RNA". Lineage: Eukaryota; Fungi; Ascomycota; Eurotiomycetes; Onygenales; Ajellomycetaceae. The record is from RNAcentral. RNAcentral also lists the same sequence under 1 other name.